This 447-nucleotide ribosomal RNA is filed under the name uncultured bacterium. Its description in RNAcentral is "partial 16S ribosomal RNA". It matches the Rfam family "Bacterial small subunit ribosomal RNA", at positions 330 to 793 of the family's 1533-position model. The record is from RNAcentral.
CCCAGACUCCUACGGGAGGCAGCAGUGGGGGAUAUUGCACAAUGGGGGGAACCCUGAUGCAGCGACGCCGCGUGGGUGAAGGAGCGUUUCGGCGCGUAAAGCCCUAUCGGCAGGGAAGAAGGAGGACGGUACCUGACUAAGAAGCCCCGGCUAACUACGUGCCAGCAGCCGCGGUAAUACGUAGGGGGCAAGCGUUAUCCGGAUUUACUGGGUGUAAAGGGGGCGCAGACGGCAGCGCAAGCCAGGAGUGAAAGCCCGGGGCCCAACCCCGGGACUGCUCUUGGAACUGCGCGGCUGGAGUGCAGGAGGGGCAGGCGGAAUUCCUGGUGUAGCGGUGAAAUGCGUAGAUAUCAGGAGGAACACCGGUGGCGAAGGCGGCCUGCUGGACUGCGACUGACGUUGAGGCCCGAAAGCGUGGGGAGCAAACAGGAUUAGAUACCCGCGUAG